CCAAAGGCCUAGCCUCACCUAAACAAUAACCAACCCACACCCCCUAAAACCAACCAAAAUAUUCUCUAUUCCUUAGUAAAGAAGAUCAAAAAACUACACAGAGCGAUAACCACGUACCGUAAGGGAAAGAUGAAAUAACUGAAAUAAAUUAAAGCACACAACAGUAGAGACUAAAUCUC
RNAcentral lists this ribosomal RNA (179 nucleotides) under Craugastor lineatus (montane robber frog). RNAcentral's name for it is "partial 16S ribosomal RNA". Lineage: Eukaryota; Metazoa; Chordata; Amphibia; Anura; Craugastoridae. The record is from RNAcentral.